Molecule: ribosomal RNA, 420 nt
Filed under: uncultured bacterium
Lineage: Bacteria
Description: bacterial SSU rRNA
Rfam family: Bacterial small subunit ribosomal RNA
Source: RNAcentral
UACGCUGGCGGCACGCCUAAACAUGCAAGUCGAACGAAGUAGCAAUACUUAGUGGCAGACGGGUGAGUAACAUGUAGGUAUCUGCCCUUUGGCCUGGAAUAACACGAGGAAACUUGUGCUAAUACCGGAUAAGUCUUUACGGAGAAAGCUUUAUGCACCAUUGGAUGAGCCUGCACUUGAUUAGUUUGUUGGUGGGGUAAUGGCCUACCAAGACUGUGAUCAAUAGCUGAUUUGAGAGGAUGAUCAGCCACAUUGGGACUGAGACACGGCCCAAACUCCUACGGGAGGCAGCAGUGGGGAAUCUUGCACAAUGGAGGAAACUCUGAUGCAGCGAUGCCGCGUGAGUGAAGAAGGCCCUUGGGUUGUAAAGCUCUUUCGUCGGGGAAGAAAAUGACUGUACCCGAAUAAGAAGGUCCGGCU